CUAGUAGCACAAACUUAACUUUAGGGACUAAAUUGAAAAUCACUCUAGGCCUUAGGGGUUUAAAGCUUUUCAAUCUAACUAUCGCCCACUAAGUCGUCAAUACUCGUAAUGACAUUCCCGACGAUGAGAGCCGUCGGAGGACCCUUGCUCUGCAUCGGCGACCUACUCUCCGACGUCGGAGAAGGAGAUCAGCAAGCUGUUAGCGGUGGUGGGUCCCACCACCCACAAAACCUACAACCACUCGAUUCCGAUCCUAGUCUCGUCCCCUCCGAUCUCCCCAAGCUCUUUCAGAUUAUCAAGAAGAAGAAAGACUAAGAAGAUGCUGAGGUUUUGGCAUGAAUUUCCUUGGGAAGAGGUUCUAUAUUUUGCCUACAUCAGCAAAGAAAGCUUCAGAACUUAAUUUAAGUCUACACUCUCUGGAUAUGUUAUCUUAGUGGGGUUUUUAGGUGUAUCCAGUUAUCUGUUACUUUUUACAUCCAGUAUGUACCCCUAUUGGCAAUUCUCAGAUGUUCACAUGUCAACAUUUCCAUUUGCCUGGUAGCUAUAUGCUCAGGAGUCGGAAAAAAUGUCAGGGAAGAGGGGUGAUGGCUGGGGUUCAAAAUUUUUUCUGUUUUAUUGUGAAGUUUCUAUAUAUGGACCAAAUGCCCCUGAAAUAUGGUUUUGCUAGCUGUUGUGCCUUUACAACUAAAUAGCAAUUGAAAGCAAUGAAUGACUUAUAUUGUACAUUUGACACCAAAAUAGUGGAGUGAAAAAAUUGUUUGAGGAAUAGUUUUGUGGCCUCUUAGCUUUUUCCCCUGGUUAGAAUUAUAAUUGGAGAGUGAAUACGCUAAAUCUUGUAAUCCUCUCUUUGUAAUUCCACUUGCCAGCACAACUCUUGCUGGCUUUUCCUACUCCUUUUGUUUUUGUUUUUGUUUUUUGUUUGCUCAGUACAUAUGCGUCAACCUAUCUGGAAGUUGAACUACCUAUUUGCAACUAUGUACUGAAUUGCUGCUGGUUUGGCUUUUUCUCUCUCAAAACUACUUUACAGAAUUUCUGAUAGUUGAUGAUGGAUGAUAAAUGAGCUUUCUUUGUUGGUUACACAAUUGACAUGCAAUUGCCAGUAUUCAUAUAUGAUUGGUCUUUUGAAAACCAAUAUUCUUUUGUUAUGUGUCUUUGUCAAUAACCUAAUUCAUGCGGUGAUGCUUCUCUUGCUAACUUUUUUUGUAAAGAUUUCUGAGAACUUGUCUUGGUCUUAUAUUCUGGUUUUUUAAGCUUCAGGUCAUCUAAUUUUUGAUGUUCAAAGGAACUGGAAUCUCGUACACCUCCCAAAGGAAUUUAAUUUUGUAAUGGAAUUGGUAGCAUUAUGCAAUUCGUGUAAAACACUUCACGCAAGACACAAAAAUAUAGCAAGAUCUGCAAUUCUUCUUCUUUUUCAUCAUUUUUUUUUUGUUUCAAGGAGAGAGAGGGAUGGUGCAGAGCAAUCAUUUGGAUAGUGAAUAUGUCAGUUGUGGUCAGAUUUGUGGAAUAAGUAUGACCUAAAGAGAUCAUUGAUUAUUUGGUAAGGUAACAUGAAGAAGAAUAUAAGAAAGCUUGCCAAUGGUAACGGUGGAAAAAGAAUGUUGAAUAAUUUAUGCAAGAAUGUGGCAUCUUGAGAUGAUGACUAAUUUAUUCAAAAUCUAAGUACCCUCGAAAAGUAAUGGACAUUGAUAUACUUAAUGAUGAUGGAUGCCUUUUUUAAGUUUAAAAUUUGUUCUCAAAACUCUAAGAAAUUUUGUGAACAAAAUGAUAUUUGACUUAGAAACCCUUCAAUGGAGGUUCCAAUACCCUACAACUAACAUUUUAUAUAAAUAGGAGAAGGGAAACUUAUUCCCCCACCCCCACAACUCCCCAUCCAAAAAAAAAAGGAGGAUGAGAGCAUGGUUCACAAGUGGUGCAACUGAAAUGAAAACCUGACAAGCAUUAUAACAGACAAGGAAACUAAUUUUUUCUCAUUGAGUUUAUUAUGAAAAAAAUAUAAAAUCGGUUUAUUUUCUCUAUGAGUUUUGUUUGUUAAUGUUUAUUUUUGUGAAAUCGACUUGACAAGACCAAAAUCCCUAAAAAACAAAGUAUAUUGAUUUUUUUUUUAAAAUAUUUUUUCUAGUAGGGGAGGGGCUGGAUUAAAGAACUAGGGAGGGAGAAGAGGGAUUUGAACCAAGGACUUAUAAGUAUAUUGGUUGAUUAACUUGUUCUUACCCAAUCAAUGUUCUUACAAUGCUAGAUCCAUCCUGAUCAAAGAGACAAACAAGAAGCUAUAAAAUUGAAUGGUGCAGUGUGCUUAUAUUCAUUAGUUGCAAUUUGCUGGUAUUCAUAUGUUCUGAUGGUUUUAGGAGUUGGAUGCAUCAUCUCAUCCUGUACUAGUACUUGAACUAUUUCAUCAAACAAGCAUCUAUCACAAAUAGUUUACUUUGAUCUUUUCCUUUCAAUGCUGGUUAAUUGGCUUUUACAAGUUAUGACUUCUUAGAUGAUCUAAUUUGCUGUUUCUUGUCUAGGAGAACUAUGACCAACUGGAUAAGGCAUUAGCUGGCACAGAUCAGUCAUGGACAGCUCUUACGCUUAAGCUUUGCACGGCUUUAGAAACUGGGAACAAGGUGGUGGAAUUUGCCAGUUCUCAUAUUGGCUUGUUAUCCGAGAAGGUUGAGAAGCUUGAAAGAAUAACUAAACAAAGAGAUUCUGCCAUAGAAGCUGCAAAAGCCAUUCAAGGUUUCUUAGAGCAGAAUGAAGUUUUUCCUCGUGAAAAUAGCUUUGCCCAAUCUGAUACUUAAAUUACAGGAAGAAAUUUGUUGUGAAAAAUGUCUAGAAUGCAUGAGAGGACCGGCUAAAUAUUUUAUGGCGGUCCUGACUGCGAAAAGUUUUUGUAACAGAAAUUUUGCUACUUGGCUUUUGCAACGACUUUACAUGUACUCAUGUCUCGCAUUUAGCAGCAUUUUUCUCUUUA
Non-coding RNA from Coffea arabica (coffee), 2953 nucleotides. Lineage: Eukaryota; Viridiplantae; Streptophyta; Magnoliopsida; Gentianales; Rubiaceae. The record is from RefSeq and is a predicted model, not a curated record.